GAUGAACGCUAGCGGCAGGCCUAAUACAUGCAAGUCGGACGGGAUUGAGGAGCUUGCUUCUCAUGAGAGUGGCGCACGGGUGCGUAACACGUAUGUAACCUACCUUAAUCAGGGGGAUAGCCUCUCGAAAGAGAGAUUAACACCGCAUAGCAUUAUUGGAUAGCAUUAUUUAAUAAUCAAAUAUUUAUAGGAUUAAGAUGGGCAUGCGGAACAUUAGCUAGUUGGUAAGGUAACGGCUUACCAAGGCUACGAUGUUUAGGGGAUCUGAGAGGAUGACCCCCCACACUGGUACUGAGACACGGACCAGACUCCUACUGGAGGGAGCAGUAAGGAAUAUUGGUCAAUGGGCGCAAGCCUGAACCAGCCAUGCCGCGUGCAGGAAGACGGCCCUACGGGUUGUAAACUGCUUUUGUACCGGAAUAAACCCUUUUACGUGUAAGAGGCUGAAUGUACGGUAAGAAUAAGGAUCGGCUAACUCCGUGCCAGCCGCCGCCGUAA
Molecule: ribosomal RNA, 498 nt
Filed under: uncultured bacterium
Lineage: Bacteria
Description: partial 16S ribosomal RNA
Rfam family: Bacterial small subunit ribosomal RNA
Source: RNAcentral